Molecule: ribosomal RNA, 487 nt
Filed under: uncultured bacterium
Lineage: Bacteria
Description: bacterial SSU rRNA
Rfam family: Bacterial small subunit ribosomal RNA
Source: RNAcentral
AUUGAACGCUGGCGGCGUGCCUAACACAUGCAAGUCGAGCGGUAACAGGUGUAGCAAUACAUGCUGACGAGCGGCGGACGGGUGAGUAACGCUUGGGAAUCUGCCUGUUAGUGGGGGACAACCCGGGGAAACUCGGGCUAAUACCGCAUACGCACUACGGUGGAAAGCCGGGGACCGCAAGGCCUGGCGCUAACAGAUGAGCCCAAGUCGGAUUAGCUAGUUGGUAGGGUAACGGCCUACCAAGGCGACGAUCCGUAACUGGUCUGAGAGGACGACCAGUCACACCGGAACUGAGACACGGUCCGGACUCCUACGGGAGGCAGCAGUGGGGAAUAUUGGACAAUGGCGAAAGCCUGAUCCAGCGACGCCGCGUGGGUGAAGAAGGCCUGCGGGUUGUAAAGCCCUUUCGGUGGGGAAGGAAAAGCCUCGAGUUAACACCUCGGGUCUUGACGUAACCCAUAGAAGAAGCACCGGCUAACUCUGUGCC